Molecule: long non-coding RNA, 1029 nt
Filed under: Cricetulus griseus (Chinese hamster)
Lineage: Eukaryota; Metazoa; Chordata; Mammalia; Rodentia; Cricetidae
Description: lncRNA (ENSCGRG00000024402.1)
Source: RNAcentral
ACAGAUUCUUUGGCUCUUUGAUCAAGCCCGAGGUUCUCCCCUGUGAAGUAAGUGGUCACAGACCUGAGUAGAGGCCAUUGGUUCUCAAGGUGGUCUUUCUGCAUAGAUGACACCAGGAGAAACAGAGACUUCAAGACUAUUGGUCAAGCACCUGCAGCUGCACCCUGGAGUAAGGGUACUCGGGCCUUAAACUGACUUCAGUUCUGCCUCUGCCUGCCUCCCCUGGAGGAGAGAAACACCAUGAGCCAGUCUGGAUUGUGCCUUGUGACGGUGACGUUGUAAAUAAUAUGUAUGAACCCGACCCGGACCUGCUGGCCGGCCAGAGUGCUGAGGAGGAGACCGAGGACAGCAUCUUGUCCCCCAUCCCUAUGGGGCCGCCGUCCCCCUUCCCCACCAGCGAGGACUUCACCCCUAAGGAGGGCUCGCCCUAUGAGGCUCCUGUCUACAUUCCUGAAGACAUUCCAAUCCCACCAGACUUUGAGUUGCGGGAAUCCUCCAUCCCAGGAGCUGGUCUGGGGAUCUGGGCCAAGCGGAAGAUGGAAAUUGGGGAGAGGCUUGGCCCCUACGUGGUGGCGCCCCGGGCCGCACUGAAGGAGGCUGACUUUGGAUGGGAGCAGAUGCUGACGGAUACAGAGGUGUCAUCCCAGGAGAGUUGCAUCAAAAAGGUAGGCAACCAUGCCAUCUCUGAUGUCACCCAGCACCCUUUCACGCAGUCCCUGGGGGGACAGCUGUGCUGUCUUGGUUGUUUCUGAGCUACAGAGCAAAGAAGCCGUUCAUGAUCAGAGCUUUAUCUGCACACAGUGUAUGAAUGCCAUCAUGGGAGACGCUUGUUUUCACUGUGUAAGCGGCGGGGCGGGGGUCACCUCACUAAGCCACCCCAGCUCUUGAGAACAGAGGACAACCCUGGGCCCGUGGGAAUGCUGCAGGCCAUGCAGACACAUGGAAACUAAAUAAAGGCAGGUUGUGUUUAUUUAACUAUCUUCACCGAAUACUCACAAGAGAAGAAUAUGGGGCGCGCGCAAUGGGCCA